GCGAAGGUGGCGGAAUUGGUAGACGCGCUAGCUUCAGGUGUUAGUGUUCUUACGGACGUGGGGGUUCAAGUCCCCGUGGCGGAAUUGGUAGACGCGCUAGCUUCAGGUGUUAGUGUCCUUACGGACGUGGGGGUUCAAGUCCCCCCCCUCGCACCA
This 156-nucleotide transfer RNA is filed under the name Escherichia coli. RNAcentral describes it as "tRNA-Leu". It matches the Rfam family "tRNA". Rfam says of the family: Transfer RNA (tRNA) molecules are approximately 80 nucleotides in length. Their secondary structure includes four short double-helical elements and three loops (D, anti-codon, and T loops). Lineage: Bacteria; Pseudomonadati; Pseudomonadota; Gammaproteobacteria; Enterobacterales; Enterobacteriaceae. The record is from RNAcentral.